RNAcentral lists this ribosomal RNA (511 nucleotides) under uncultured Pseudomonadota bacterium. RNAcentral's name for it is "bacterial SSU rRNA". It matches the Rfam family "Bacterial small subunit ribosomal RNA", at positions 370 to 896 of the family's 1533-position model. The record is from RNAcentral. Lineage: Bacteria; Pseudomonadati; Pseudomonadota.
GUAGGGCGAAAGCCUGAUCCAGCAAUGCCGCGUGAGUGAUGAAGGCCUUAGGGUUGUAAAGCUCUUUUACCCGGGAUGAUAAUGACAGUACCGGGAGAAUAAGCCCCGGCUAACUCCGUGCCAGCAGCCGCGGUAAUGCGGGAGGGGGCUAGCGUUGUUCGGAAUUACUGGGCGUAAAGCGCACGUAGGCGGCUUUGUAAGUUAGAGGCGAAAGCCCGGAGCUCAACUCCGGAACUGCCUUUUAAGACUGCAUCGCUUGAACGUCGGAGAGGUAAGUGGAAUUCCGAGUGUAGAGGUGAAAUUCGUAGAUAUUCGGAAGAACACCAGUGGCGAAGGCGACUUACUGGACGACUGUUGACGCUGAGGUGCGAAAGCGUGGGGAGCAAACAGGAUUAGGUACCCUGGUAGUCCACGCCGUAAACGAUGAUGACUAGCUGUCGGAGCUCAUGGAGCUUCGGUGGCGCAGCUAACGCGUUAAGUCAUCCGCCUGGGGAGUACGGCCGCAAGGUUA